GGUGGGGUGGCAGAGCGGCCUAACGCGCCUGCCUUGAGAGCAGAUGGCCUACAAGCCUCAUGGGUUCAAAUCCCAUCCCCACCG
Molecule: non-coding RNA, 84 nt
Organism: Natronorubrum tibetense GA33
Lineage: Archaea; Methanobacteriati; Methanobacteriota; Halobacteria; Halobacteriales; Natrialbaceae
Source: Rfam